CUCCCCAUGUAGGAUCUCUGUCCUUAAUGUGUUGUACUUUGUGAAUUAACGGCAUAACUAGUACUCAAACAGUACUUUAUACUUUGUGUUUCUGUGUGGCUGCAAACUUGAAAUCUUUACUUAGUGUAUACUAAAUUGAUCUUCUGUAUAUAAAGAUAAUUGAAAAUGAAUCUUGAUGUGAAUGGGAUGGGAGAGGGCGUGGGAGAUGGGAUGGUUGCGGGUGGGAGGCAGGUUAUGGGGGGAAAUCCACUAUAAUCCAAAAGUUGUAGUUUGGAAAUUUAUAGUUACUAAAUAGAAGUUAAAAAAAGAAGAUGUGUCACUUCACAAGUAGACUGUUACCAGCAGAAAGUUCAUUUCUGCUAGUCUUCUCUGAUCCCCAUUCCCACUGAGUUCACUCCACUAGUUUUGUUUCACAUAGCUUAUAUGAAGUACUUCAUCUCUUCAAUCAUCUGCAUAGUUUUUUUGAGUACUUGGAUCAUAUUUGUCACCCAGUAUAAAUGAAAAUGGAGUUAGCAGAGUCUUCUUCUUUCCAUUAAUCUUAUUAACUUUCACUGAUAAACAAGAGAAUGAGGGAAAUUAUUAUCUUGUGCUGUGUUUUCAACUAAUUUUUGUUUUCCUGAUCAAACAGUUGGAUGAGUCCUCCACAAGAUUAAAAGGAAAAGACUCAUUUUCAGCAGAGACACUCUUCAGAUUCCCCAGGAAAGUGCAAUUGGAGCAAUACGUUUGGGAAUCUUUUCCAUGGAGUUACAAACACAAGUCAAUAAUUCAGAGGACAAUUGGAGUUUCCUCAGAACUGUUCAAAUUUUCAGAAUUGAGAAUACAAAAGGAUAACUUGACAAAUCAGGAACACAAAAUACUUCUCUCCUUUUGAUUGAUAUAACACAUCUGCAAGCCUUCACCCAAUCUUCGGAAUAGAUUCCCAUUUCAAACAAAGGAAACAGAAGAAUCUUAUUCCUCCACCAAAGAGACUCAAAGGAAGAGAUUCUUCUCCUAAAAUAUAUGGUCCUUAUAUUAUCCAGCAACUUGUAUGAUUGAACAUGUUAAUCAAAUACUUAAAUGAGAGCAACUCUUUAUGAACCUUGAGAAAAAAGAAUCAAGAUUGUUAAGGGAUAUCUAUGAGCAAUUCAUUAACAUGUUCAGUGGAAAAGUCAAACUUCGGAUGUGUGGACUCUAAAGAAACAGUUCAUCUCUCAACAAAAUACUGAUAUAGCAAAGAUAAAGAAGGCAUGUCAAAACGUGAAACUGUUUUUGUAUAUUAGCUUCUGAUUUCUAAAAUUCCAUUAAAGUAGUUUAUUUAACAAGAUUCUGGCUGUAGAAAAUUGGCAAAAGUUUACUCUGAAUAUGCAAUUAUUUUCUUCCUAUCACAUUUGUACCCUUAGGGAGAUGCUGUCAAACCUGCUGACUGAAGGAAUGCUCCCUCAGCCAAGGAAACUGGAAUUUUGAUGAGUAUUUUUGAAUGCUGGUAAAUUGUUUACAGUAUUAGAGAUGUAAAUAGCUUACCUCUCAGAAAUAUGCAUUACCCCCUGCACAAAUUAGGUUGUGUAGUUUCAUUUUCUUUCACUUCCAAUUCUUAACUUUGUUUCUAUUUGUUCAUGAAAAUGUAAUAAGCUGCAUUUUUCCAUCUUAUUAUGUAAACUUGCAUACAUCUGUGGAAGUAGAGACAAAAACACAAUGAUCUAAGAUUUACCUUCAAAUUAAAUUCCUACAUUUUUGUUUCCUAUGUACCCCUACUCAGUUUGCCCUUGUUGGAUGCACUAUAUUUUAUGUAACCAAGCCACUAUUUUUUUUAGAGUACAUUGUGACAUUUAUUAUUUUCUUUGGGCUUCCAGAGCAACCUUAAAUUUUAUAUUACAAUUUAAUAAUGUUUUUAA
RNAcentral lists this long non-coding RNA (1871 nucleotides) under Oryctolagus cuniculus (rabbit). RNAcentral's name for it is "lncRNA (ENSOCUG00000034350.1)". Lineage: Eukaryota; Metazoa; Chordata; Mammalia; Lagomorpha; Leporidae. The record is from RNAcentral.